CGUGGACAGCUCAGGAGUCACACUGGGGAAAACAUGGAGCACCAGAUCUUAGAGCGUUAUCUAUCUGCCCUUCCAUCUGGAUUCUGUGCCUGAAGUUCAAAGUCUCAGUGCAGGACGCAAUAUUCAGCUUAAUCAAUUCUGCCAUCUAGUGGACAGUUUCCACUCCCGCUAUCCGUCCUUUCAGAUUUUCUCUGAUGUAAUUGAGGGGCAGAAAGGAGCAGUUCCUGGGGCCUUACCUCCAGACUCAGGCAGUAGGAGCCGUGCUGGGCCGUGUGGCUUCAGAUCAACAGAGAGAGCAGCAGGCGCAGGACCACCUGUUAAGUGAAAACCCAAAAAUCUUCAAAGACCUUCCCGAGCCAAAAUCCUGUGAUGAAAAUCCCCCUGGGUUUCAACUAUGUUUGAAGGCAGCCCCUUGUUAACUCUGCCCCUCCCUCCGAGAGCUGAGUAUGUCUGCCCCCACCCCAGGCUCUAAGCUGAUUUUUUUUUUUUUUGAAGAAAAAGAAAGGUUAUUUGUGCUCCUGUAGACAUACAGGAAAGACAUAAUAUCUAGUGUAACUUCACUGUCUCCUCAAACUCUGAUACUAAUAAACCACCUUGUACUUUAGCAAUAA
This is a long non-coding RNA of Peromyscus eremicus (cactus mouse), 611 nucleotides long. RefSeq lists it as uncharacterized. The transcript is spliced from 2 exons. The record is from RefSeq and is a predicted model, not a curated record. Lineage: Eukaryota; Metazoa; Chordata; Mammalia; Rodentia; Cricetidae.